This is a long non-coding RNA of Numida meleagris (helmeted guineafowl), 474 nucleotides long. NCBI's taxonomy places the organism in Eukaryota, Metazoa, Chordata, Aves, Galliformes, Numididae. The record is from Ensembl.
AUGUGGGAUAUUCUUUUAAGCAUUGAGACGAGCUUAUUUGCUUGGGUGAUUUUCACAUGGAGUUUGCCUGUUUUGAGCUUUUGUAUAGCUGAUGAGCGAUAUCAUUGGAUAGUUUUGGUCAUUUUAGUGGCAAGUGCAAUAUGGUGGGCAAGGGGAAAGCAAAGGAGGUUAAAAUCCCUCCUUUGUUUUAGAUGCUGCAUCUCCUGCGCAGCUGCAAUGUGGCUGGAAUCAUGUUCUCUCCAUGAUGAUGGAGCGGGGCCGAGGAAGGUACCAGGGAUGACGACACCUCCUGUGCAUCACUGCAGUGAGGCAGCACAGUGCUGCGGGCUCCAGCAGCACUGCCAGCUAUUUUUAACCUGGAUGUGCUCUGCGAUUUGUUUCACACACAGCACUGAAAUGGCACAGCUGAGGGGACAAGAGAGAAACCCAGACCAGCUACAACGUCUGUUCAGACAUGCGGCACCCACUUUAUGA